CGUUUAUAACCGCAGCUUCACGUCGUCUCAGAGCCCCGCCCUCUAUCUGACUGUGGGAGACUUGGUGACAAAUCUGAUCAUCAGGGUGGUUGUGGUCCCCUUCCUCCUGAUCACAGGGACCAUCUGCCUCUUCUUCUACUGUCGGGCCAGUGGGGGGCGGAGUCGACUGAAGGCACGCAACACACCAUGAGAGACACCGACACAGUCUACGAACACAGUCUACAAACAAAGUCUAUGAACACAGUCUACGAACACAGUCUACGAACAAAGUCUAUGAACACAGUCUACGAACACAGUCUACGAACAAAGUCUAUGAACACAGUCUACGAACACAGUCUACGUCCAUGUCCUCGUCCAUCCUGCAGAAUAGUUGUGUGUGUUGUUUGUGUCCCAGUCCCAGUUCUGGUCCUGGAGUCCUGGUCCGGUCUGAAUGUUCAGUGUGUUUGUGUUUCAGCGGUUCCUGGUUCUUCUUAGACUUGGACUCAGACCUGUUCAGUCCUGGGUUAGG
This is a long non-coding RNA of Sphaeramia orbicularis (orbiculate cardinalfish), 508 nucleotides long. RefSeq lists it as uncharacterized. The transcript has 3 exons. The record is from RefSeq and is a predicted model, not a curated record. Lineage: Eukaryota; Metazoa; Chordata; Actinopteri; Kurtiformes; Apogonidae.